ACAGGGAUUGCCCUAGUAACGGCGAGUGAAGCGGCAACAGCUCAAAUUUGAAAUCUGGCGUCUUUGGCGUCCGAGUUGUAAUUUGCAGAGGGCGCUUUGGCAUUGGCAGCGGUCCAAGUUCCUUGGAACAGGACGUCACAGAGGGUGAGAAUCCCGUACGUGGUCGCUAGCCUUUACCGUGUAAAGCCCCUUCGACGAGUCGAGUUGUUUGGGAAUGCAGCUCUAAAUGGGAGGUAAAUUUCUUCUAAAGCUAAAUACUGGCCAGAGACCGAUAGCGCACAAGUAGAGUGAUCGAAAGAUGAAAAGCACUUUGGAAAGAGAGUUAAAAAGCACGUGAAAUUGUUGAAAGGGAAGCGCUUGCAGCCAGACUUGCCUGUAGUUGCUCAUCCGGGUUUUUACCCGGUGCACUCUUCUAUAGGCAGGCCAGCAUCAGUUUGGGCGGUUGGAUAAAGGUCUCUGUCAUGUACCUCCUUUCGGGGAGAUCUUAUAGGGGAGACGACAUGCAACCAGCCUGGACUGAGGUCCGCGCAUCUGCUAGGAUGCUGGCGUAAUGGCUGUAAGCGGCCCGUCUUGAAACACGGACCAAGGAGUCUAACAUCUAUGCGAGUGUUUGGGUGUCAAGCCCGAACGCGUAAUGAAAGUGAACGGAGGUGGGAACCUUUCGGGGUGCACCAUCGACCGAUCCUGAUGUCUUCGGAUGGAUUUGAGUAAGAGCAUAGCUGUUGGGACCCGAAAGAUGGUGAACUAUGCUUGAAUAGGGUGAAGCCAGAGGAAACUCUGGUGGAGGCUCGCAGCGGUUCUGACGUGCAAAUCGAUCGUCAAAUUUGGGCAUAGGGGCGAAAG
RNAcentral lists this ribosomal RNA (843 nucleotides) under Stagonosporopsis weymaniae. RNAcentral describes it as "partial large subunit ribosomal RNA". It matches the Rfam family "Eukaryotic large subunit ribosomal RNA", at positions 68 to 929 of the family's 3401-position model. Lineage: Eukaryota; Fungi; Ascomycota; Dothideomycetes; Pleosporales; Didymellaceae. The record is from RNAcentral.